UCCCUGGUAGCUCAGAGGUUAAAGUGUUUGCCUGCAAUGCAGGAGGCCUGGGUUCGAUCCCUGGGUUGGGAA
Transfer RNA from Ovis aries (sheep), 72 nucleotides. It matches the Rfam family "tRNA". Rfam says of the family: Transfer RNA (tRNA) molecules are approximately 80 nucleotides in length. The record is from Rfam. NCBI's taxonomy places the organism in Eukaryota, Metazoa, Chordata, Mammalia, Artiodactyla, Bovidae.